Molecule: long non-coding RNA, 210 nt
Filed under: Elaeis guineensis (African oil palm)
Lineage: Eukaryota; Viridiplantae; Streptophyta; Magnoliopsida; Arecales; Arecaceae
Description: long non-coding RNA (EGUI_LNC053323)
Source: RNAcentral
AAAUAAAAUCAAGUAAACAAGGCAAGUCUAGCCUAAAAAAAAAUUAAAGAAGACAAGCUGUCAAAGGACCAAUGGCACACUUGGCAUACAAACUGAGCUGACCUAGUUUUAACUGAGCUAAUCCAAUGAUAAAGAGUAGUCAAAAGAUAGAAAGACUGAAGUUUCAUGGAACAGUUCAGUUAGCCGACCCAGUGCAAAGUGAGCCGACCC